This 105-nucleotide ribosomal RNA is filed under the name Grallenia arenicola. Its description in RNAcentral is "partial 16S rRNA". Lineage: Eukaryota; Metazoa; Chordata; Actinopteri; Gobiiformes; Gobiidae. The record is from RNAcentral.
ACAUCUCAUCAGCUAGCCCAACACAUUAAUCAACAAACCCUAUUCAUAAAACACAAUGACCUACCCCUCACAAACAAAUCAUUUUUACCCCAAGUAUGGGCGACA